RNAcentral lists this non-coding RNA (227 nucleotides) under Pseudomonas sp. Lineage: Bacteria; Pseudomonadati; Pseudomonadota; Gammaproteobacteria; Pseudomonadales; Pseudomonadaceae. The record is from RNAcentral. RNAcentral also lists the same sequence under 1 other name.
CCUUCGCGACGUGUUCCAGGUGCCUGGCAGCCCAAGGCUGGCCAGGUGAAACAGGGAAGCCGGUGAGGCGCCGUUGGCGUGCGAGCCCGGCGCUGCCCCCGCAACGGUAAAUGAGUCAAGGUCACGCAUGGCGCCACUGAACCUGGUUCGGUUCGGGAAGGCGCGUGGCCAGGGUGUACACGACCCCGCUCAUGAGUCCGGAGACCGGCCUGAAACCCUUCUUGGCA